GUGAAAGAGAAUCUAACUUUCACCAUCACAGACGAGCUCGAGAUCUUUCCUACGUCGACCAUCAAGAGCAUCGCGUUGCUCAACCAGCUCCAGGUGAAAAACAUGGCCGACUUGAAAAGCAUGGAAGUCAGCGUCGACACCACAGACGUAAGAAGUUUUCCUCUUCCUCGCUUAUAGUUUCUCUCGAUUUUUCACAGGUUCUUCGAUUGCUCAGAGCUUCACUCACUCGGAAAUCCGUGCUGAAUUACGUUUUCCAGUGUCGUCUUCCAAACCAGCACGAACACGAGCGCUGCGAUCGUUGCUCCGUGCAUUGCAAAUAAGCUGUUU
Molecule: long non-coding RNA, 327 nt
Filed under: Selaginella moellendorffii
Lineage: Eukaryota; Viridiplantae; Streptophyta; Lycopodiopsida; Selaginellales; Selaginellaceae
Description: long non-coding RNA (SMOE_LNC001930)
Source: RNAcentral